GGCUGCAGCGAUUUUGAUUGGUUGAUUCAUAAGCUAUUGAUUUUAAUGAGUUGUGGCGGAUUGCAAAUCCGGUUAGACCAGUUCGACUCUGGUUCGCGCCUCCA
This 104-nucleotide transfer RNA is filed under the name Delftia acidovorans. RNAcentral's name for it is "tRNA-OTHER". Lineage: Bacteria; Pseudomonadati; Pseudomonadota; Betaproteobacteria; Burkholderiales; Comamonadaceae. The record is from RNAcentral.